Molecule: ribosomal RNA, 208 nt
Filed under: uncultured Chlamydiales bacterium
Lineage: Bacteria; Pseudomonadati; Chlamydiota; Chlamydiia; Chlamydiales
Description: partial 16S ribosomal RNA
Rfam family: Bacterial small subunit ribosomal RNA
Source: RNAcentral
CGCCAACACUGGGACUGAGACACUGCCCAGACUCCUACGGGAGGCUGCAGUCGAGAAUCAUUCGCAAUGGGCGAAAGCCUGACGAUGCGACGCCGUGUGAGCGAUGAAGGCCUUUGGGUUGUAAAGCUCUUUCGCCUGGGAACAAGAGAAGUGGAUUAAUAAUCCCCUAAUUUGAGGGUACCAGGUAAAGAAGCACCGGCUAACUCCA